CUGUUCCUACGGGAGGCAGCAGUGGGGAAUAUUGGGCAAUGGGCGCAAGCCUGACCCAGCAACGCCGCGUGAAGGAAGAAGGCUUUCGGGUUGUAAACUUCUUUUCUCAGGGACGAAGAAAGUGACGGUACCUGAGGAAUAAGCCACGGCUAACUACGUGCCAGCAGCCGCGGUAAUACGUAGGUGGCAAGCGUUAUCCGGAUUUACUGGGUGUAAAGGGCGUGUAGGCGGGAAAGCAAGUCAGAUGUGAUAACCACGG
This 259-nucleotide ribosomal RNA is filed under the name uncultured bacterium. Its description in RNAcentral is "partial 16S ribosomal RNA". It matches the Rfam family "Bacterial small subunit ribosomal RNA", at positions 333 to 606 of the family's 1533-position model. The record is from RNAcentral.